Molecule: ribosomal RNA, 505 nt
Filed under: uncultured bacterium
Lineage: Bacteria
Description: bacterial SSU rRNA
Rfam family: Bacterial small subunit ribosomal RNA
Source: RNAcentral
UCAGGAUGAACGCUGGCGGCGUGCCUAAUACAUGCAAGUCGUACGAGGGAAGUCCAGCUUGCUGGACGGAACGAGUGGCGAACGGGUGAGUAAUACGUAAGCAACCUGCCUGCAAGGGACUGGGAUAACACCUGGAAACGGGCGCUAAUACCGGAUAGGUAACAAAGGGGCAGUCCCUAUGUUAUUAAAGGUUAGAAACACAAGCAGAUGGGCUUACGGUGCAUUAGCUAGUUGGUGAGGUAACGGCCCACCAAGGCGAUGAUGCAUAGCUGGCCUGAGAGGGUGAACGGCCACAUUGGGACUGAGACACGGCCCAGACUCCUACGGGAGGCAGCAGUAGGGAAUUUUCGGCAAUGGACGAAAGUCUGACCGAGCAACGCCGCGUUGAGUGAAGAAGGUUUUCGGAUUGUAAAAGCUCUGUUGUAAGGGAAGAACAGCACGGAAAGAAUCCGUGAAUGACGGUACCUUACCAGAAAGCCACGGCUAACUACGUGCCAGCAGCCGC